AACUGGCCUUUUAAGUCCCGCA
Molecule: microRNA, 22 nt
Filed under: Saccoglossus kowalevskii
Lineage: Eukaryota; Metazoa; Hemichordata; Enteropneusta; Harrimaniidae
Description: sko-miR-193a-3p
Gene: sko-miR-193a-3p
Source: miRBase by way of RNAcentral